UACGAACCGAGCGAACGUUGUUCGGAAUCACUGGGCUUAAAGGGCGCGUAGGCGGGCCGCCGCGUCCGGGGUGAAAUCCUCCCGCUCAACGGGAGAACGGCCUCGGAUACGGGCGGCCUGGAGGGGGGUAGGGGCGUGCGGAACUGUGGGUGGAGCGGUGAAAUGCGUUGAUAUCCACAGGAACUCCGGUGGCGAAGGCGGCACGCUGGACCCCACCUGACGCUGAGGCGCGAAAGCCAGGGGAGCGAACGGG
This 253-nucleotide ribosomal RNA is filed under the name uncultured bacterium. Its description in RNAcentral is "partial 16S ribosomal RNA". It matches the Rfam family "Bacterial small subunit ribosomal RNA", at positions 524 to 776 of the family's 1533-position model. The record is from RNAcentral.